RNAcentral lists this ribosomal RNA (530 nucleotides) under uncultured bacterium. RNAcentral's name for it is "partial 16S ribosomal RNA". The record is from RNAcentral.
CACGUAGUUAGCCGUGGCUUUCUUGAAGAGUACCGUCAAGUAAGACUCAUUUCCUAAUCUUACAAUUCUUUCUCAACAACAGAGUUUUACAACCCAUAGGGCCUUCAUCACUCACGCGGCAUUGCUCGUUCAGGGUUUCCCCCAUUGACGAAUAUUCCUAACUGCUGUCUCCCGUAGGAGUCUGGGCCGUGUCUCAGCCCCAGUGUGGCCGAUUAACCUCUCAGUUCGGCUACGCAUCGUCGUCUUGGUAGGCCGUUACCCCACCAACUAACUAAUACGCCGCAGGCCCAUCUCUAAGCGAAGCUUUAAAGGCUUCUUUACUCCAUAGAGCACAUUCGGUAUUACUCAACCGUUUCCAGUUGUUACUCCCCUAAACUUAGAGGUUACGGUAACCCACGUGUUACUCGACCCGUUUGCCUACGUAGGUGGAAAAUCCAAAAUCCAAUCUUUGUGCAAGCACGCAGAUUUUCAAGUGGGCCACUCGUUCGACUUGCUAUGGUCUUAGGCCAGUCGCCGACAGGUCGUUUCAC